AACGAACGCUGGCGGCAGGCUUAACACAUGCAAGUCGAGCGCCCCGCAAGGGGAGCGGCAGACGGGUGAGUAACGCGUGGGAACAUACCCUCCGGUACGGAAUAACUCAGGGAAACUUGAGCUAAUACCGUAUACGGCUGAGAGGCGAAAGAUUUAUCGCCGGAGGAUUGGCCCGCGUCCGAUUAGCUAGUUGGUGAGGUAAUGGCCCACCAAGGCGACGAUCGGUAGCUGGUCUGAGAGGAUGAUCAGCCACAUUGGGACUGAGACACG
RNAcentral lists this ribosomal RNA (270 nucleotides) under uncultured bacterium. RNAcentral describes it as "partial 16S ribosomal RNA". It matches the Rfam family "Bacterial small subunit ribosomal RNA", at positions 29 to 328 of the family's 1533-position model. The record is from RNAcentral.